AUUGAACGCUGGCGGCAUGCCUAACACAUGCAAGUCGAACGGAAACACGAGGAGCCUUCUUUCUUGACGUUCGCGUCGGGCGGGUGAGUGACAUGUCGAUGACCCAGCUUUAUGGAUGGGGUAACUUACUGGAAACGGAACCAAUAACCGAAUAUCUUCUCAACCCCAUGGAUCAAGAGCGACAGACCGCCUGGCAUUGGCUUUUACCUGAUGCCACGCUGGAUUAGCUAGUUGGUGAGGUAACGGCUUACCAAGGCGACGAUGCAUAGCCGAUCUGAGAGGAUGAUCAGCCACACUGGAACUGAGACACGGUCCAGACUCCUACGGGAGGCAGCAGUGGGGAAUCUUGCACAAUGGGCGAAAGCCUGAUGGAGCAAUGCCGCGUGUAUGAUGAAGGUCUUCGGGUCGUAAAGUUCUUUUAGUAGGGAAGAAGAGAUUAGUGUGAAUCUGUGCGCAUCUUGACGUUACCUGAAGAGAAAGCAACGGCUAACUACGUG
RNAcentral lists this ribosomal RNA (497 nucleotides) under uncultured bacterium. RNAcentral's name for it is "partial 16S ribosomal RNA". It matches the Rfam family "Bacterial small subunit ribosomal RNA", at positions 30 to 507 of the family's 1533-position model. The record is from RNAcentral.